This 744-nucleotide long non-coding RNA is filed under the name Phasianus colchicus (ring-necked pheasant). RNAcentral describes it as "lncRNA (ENSPCLG00000001443.1)". The record is from RNAcentral. Lineage: Eukaryota; Metazoa; Chordata; Aves; Galliformes; Phasianidae.
AUGCCCCUUCCAAACAACCUUUGCCAUCAGAAAGCUGUUGGGGGAGGAUUUCUGCAGAGCUGGCGGUUCCAGGAGUUGCAGGGGAAAAUGCAAGAAAGGCAAGGAGAACUGAGUUGUGGAAUGGAUAAACACAUUGCCAAUUGCCACACAGGAAGCCCUCAAGAGAACUGGAGGAAGCUCAGAUUUGCUGAAUGUGAGAUCAAGUUCAAAGAGCUUAAUCUGAAUGGCUGAACGUAACACAGUGUCUUAGGACCUCCAGCAGAUCACACACUACCUGAGCUCUUGGGAGCAUGGACUCUCUGUAAGAGAAUAUAUACCUCCUUUUAUGUGUGAAGUGAAACCUGUGAGGUGUAACAUCUCCUGCAGCCCUGGAGAAGUCCUGGCUGUGGGUACGGUCUUCUAAAUUCCUGGAGCAAGCAUCUACAGCAUCACCCCUCCCUUCAGCUGAGCAAUACAAGGGGUUCACCACCACCUCUGAGAUUUCCCUGCCCCAAUUUGCAAAGCCGACUCUGAAAGUAAACAUGCACCACAGCUGCACCACUGCCUUUCUGUCAUCUCAUAGUAUAAGCAACAGCUAAGCACAGGGAUCAGAAUGCUGUGUAUUCGGAAUAUCCAACAUAGAGGUGAAUCAAAGAAGACGUGGGGUUUUUUUUGUUUUUGUUUUUUUUUUAAGUCUUAUGCAUUCACAUGAUCAUGGGACAGUAUUUGAAUUGGUGAGAGACUGUGAAAUCUUACAUUUCAUUU